UAUUCAAGUUCUAGCCAACCAAAUUAUAAAAUAUUCAAUGAUGAAAAAUCUUGAAUGUUCUUCAUGCUCGUACUCUAAAAUCCUGAAACAGAAUGAAUAAAUAAAGAAGAAAAGCCUAUGCUAGAGACACUGCAACGGGGCUUCUCACAUAAUGAUAACUAUCAGUCCAAGUGUACCAGCCAAAGGCAAAGUCAUCCUUAUAAUACUUCUUUGCAGUAUGAGCAUCUCUUGCUCUAACUGUUAAAGUGAAGCUUAUCUUUUGCCCAACUUUAUCGAAGUACAAAAUACUUGGCGAGGCUUUAAUGGAAAUUCCCUUAGGUGGUUUGGCAGUGAAGAAGUAGACACUUUUGGCAGCACCAACAUUCGUCACAUUCCUCUUAACUAUUACAGUGCCAUUCAGUUUAGGAAUUGAAACAGAUGGAUAGUUCAAAUUGUAUGUUGGCUCCAAUGUUGCUUUUUUUGGGCAAUGAUAAUCGCCCACUUUUGAAUAUCCAUAGUUGCAAAGGUAGGCAAUGUAGUCGUCAUAGGAUGCAUCAUACACUAGACCAGGGUCUGCUGCCUUGGCUGGUCGGAAGUGACCAGAACCGAAUUGGAAAGGAUCUGCAAUUUUACCUGAUGGAUCGAUUAUAGACUGACCCUUGUUAUUUUUCAUCCAGGCUGUGGUCAUUAUGGCAGAUCUUAUGGCUGCACUGCUCCAUUUAGGAUAUAUGGCUCUAAGAAGUGCAGCUACAGCAGAAACAUGGGGACAAGCCAUAGAAGUUCCUGACUCAAUGACAUAAUCCGCGAUUCUAUGAUCAGCCCACAAUUUUGUAGGCGAAGAUCCUCGACUCCAUGCUGCCAAGAUAUUUAACCCUGGCGCUGUGAUGUCAGGCUUGAGAAUAUUAAGAUCAAGGACAUUUGGACCCCUACUAGUGAAUGCAGCCAUGGAAGGUGCGGGUGAAUAAUUUAACACAGUCUUUGCCUUUGCAAUGAUAGCCGUUGGCUUAUUGGCAGACUUAAUGUAGUUAAUAAUUUCAAUUGCAUCGUUAGCAUCCACAGCAGUUGCUGGAAGAACAUGAGCAUCCACUGAUAUGUCAUUGCCAUUUUGUGGACUAUUUCCUAAGACAAAACCAGCACCACCAGCUCUUUUCACCUCUAUGCCUUUUCCAACUCUCAUUCCAAGCCCUCUCAUGCACAACACUAUCUUCCCCUUUACCUUCUCAGGAGAAAGAGAAUUAGGGAGGCAUUGGUUUGAUUCAUUCUUGGGAAUUCCUGGAGCCGCCACAUCUGCUGCAUACACUAAUGGGUGCAUUUUGUCUAGCUUGUAUGGAGUAGCAGUUUGCCCGACAAUCUUCUUGCCAUUUCCAAGCACAAUAGGCCCCAAAAACGCACGAUCCAGGCUACUAGCACCAACAGUAAUAAUCCAAGGAGCAGGGUUGGACAAGGUACCCGGAGCAGGACCUAAGUUACCAGCAGAACAAGAAACUACAAUGUUGUUUUUGACAGCAUGUAAAGCACCAAUGGCAAUGCCAUCUUCCGCGUACGGUAUUGGCUCGGUGGUACCAAUGGACAUGCUUAAUACAUGGACUCCAUCCUUCACGGCGUCGUCUAUGGCUGCAAGCAUAUCUUCUUCGAAACAUGUGUUGCCUUCUGCUUUUUCUUGAUUAGGAAUCGCCCAACAGGCCUUGUAUAUGGCCAGGUGUGCUGAUGGUGCCCCGCCCGAGGCUGUUCCGCUGGCGAAACCACCGUAGGCAGCGACGUCAUGCACCUGCCUUCCGGCAACUGUGGACGCCGUGUGAGUUCCGUGGCCGUCCAAGUCACGCGGUGACAUGAUGUCCUCGGUGGCAUUGAGUUUUUUGUAGUAGUUUAAGUAACCCUCAAUGUAGUAUCUAGCUCCGAUAAUUUUCUUGUUACAGUGGGAUGAGUUAAAAUCAACCCCACUUUGGCAGAUUCCCUUCCAUGAUUUUGGAAUGGGUCCCAUGCCUUCAUCACUGAAACUCUUGGAUUCUGGCCACACACCACUAUCCAUGACCCCCACAAUCACAUUUUUGCCAAAUCCAGCCUUCAAUGGUAAUUCUCUUUCCCCAGCGGAGCGAUGUUUCGAGGAGUGUCCGUCUCCCUCUUCCAAGCCUACAAAUUCCCAUGACCUUGUAGUUUGCGUUGAGUACUUCCCUGGCUUGGUUUCAUACACAGUAACCACUUCUUCCAACUCAGACAGUUUGGAGGCUUCUUCUGGGGUUAGCAAUGCAGCGAAACCAUUGAUGCUGUGCUUGUAGCUGUAAAUAAGAGAAUCUAUAGCUUCUUCCUCAGUUUCUUUCACUGAGUUCAAAUAUGAGAGAUGAGUUUCUUCUAUUUCAGCAUGUGUUUUCUCUCCACUAUGCUCUCCAAAGUAUACUAUGUAGCUCUGUCAUUAAAAUUAAAAACACAAUAUCAACGUAAGUCUGUGAUUAAAACAUUAUAAGAGAUAGAAAACAAAAACAACCAAACCAAACCAAACCUUACCUUUUUCUUUGUGCAUGAGGCUAAAAGAGGUAGAAGGAGAAGAAAGAAAAUACAAAAUCUUUUCAUGGUUGCUGAUGGUGAUUGCACAAUGGCAAUCUUCAAGAGAUUUUGGGCAUUUAUAUGAUCAGUUAAUAGGAUCUUAUUUCAAAUUGAAAAGGUCUAUCUUCAAAUGAACGUGGCCCAUAUUUUCUAGAGUAGUAUAAGGAAAAUAUUAAGUGUUUGUUUUAUAGGAAAAAAGUCUAUUCAAAACUAUAAAAAGAAUUUUAUUUGUAAUCAAUCACUG
This 2764-nucleotide unclassified non-coding RNA is filed under the name Hevea brasiliensis (rubber tree). The record is from RNAcentral. Lineage: Eukaryota; Viridiplantae; Streptophyta; Magnoliopsida; Malpighiales; Euphorbiaceae.